GCGCUCUUAGCUCAGUAGGAUAGAGCAAUAGCCUUCUAAGCUAUUGGUCACAGGUUCGAAUCCUGUAGAGCGCA
RNAcentral lists this transfer RNA (74 nucleotides) under Enterobacteriaceae endosymbiont of Donacia sparganii. RNAcentral describes it as "tRNA-Arg". It matches the Rfam family "tRNA". Rfam says of the family: Transfer RNA (tRNA) molecules are approximately 80 nucleotides in length. Lineage: Bacteria; Pseudomonadati; Pseudomonadota; Gammaproteobacteria; Enterobacterales; Enterobacteriaceae. RNAcentral also lists the same sequence under 4 other names. The record is from RNAcentral.